UUAUUCACCUCUCAACAGUUUUCUCACCAAUGUCCUUUUCCUGCUCUGCGCCCACAGCACACCAAAGUUCCUAGCCAGGAAUCGAACCUGCGCCACAGCAGCAAGCCAAGCUGCUGCAGUGACAACCCCAGAUCCCUAAUCUGCUAGACUGUAAGAGAACUCUUGAUGCCGUUUUCCUGAUCCAGGAUCCAAUCUGAGCCGUGCUCGGCAUUGCCGUUUGCUGUGACUGCGUAACAAGUUGCCCCAUUUGCUCUAUUCUGCCAACUUUUCCUGAGCUGGAGCCCUGGCCUGCCGCCUGGGAGGUCACGUCUGAUGGGGUGGGGGCGCCUCACCAUCUCCCUCUCCGGGAUUCCAGACCCGCCUGGGUCCCAGGAGAUUUAUGCCAGGCCUGCCCUACGUGGCUAUUUUCUGACUCUGGUCGCUGAUCUGGUGGAUCGUUCAUGUGUAGAAGCAAGAAGAGCACUUUACAGUUUGCAAAGCUCCUGUAUGGACGUGGUGUGUCCCACGGAAACUCACAAUCAUCCGGAGAGCUGGCCACGCAGACCGAGGCCCCUGAACUCUCCGGGCUGAGCCGGCCGAGCUCCAGGCCCACCUGCCAGGCGCAGCCUCUUAACAAGCUGGGAAACCGGCUGAUGGGCAGUGAAGUGCACGCUGCUGCUGGCUGGAUGGGGACAGCACAUUCUGUCCGCAGGAGGCGGGUGCUGGCAGAGCUGAAGGCAGCGGAAGGACGCAGAGUGUAUAUUAUGAACUAACACACAACCUGUGUGCUGUGGAGCAAAACCAUACCGGAUAAUGAAAAGAGCCGAAUUCUCAACAGGCCAGCGUGGGUUGAUAUUAAAGCGCAUAUGUCCUGAGCCUUGAAGCAGGUGCGUCCCGUCCAGAGCUCCUGCCUCUUCUGCGCCGUGGACCCUGUGGCAGCCUGGCGAAGCCGUAGACCCCUUUUUCAGAACAAUGUUUUAAAUGCAUUUAAAAAAGUGCAUAGGCAUGCCCAGGGUGGCAUGGCCUUGGGAUAGAACGUGAUGGAAGAUAAUACAAGAAAAAAGAUGUGUACAUAUGACUGGGUCAUUUUGUUGUACAGCAGAAAUUGGUACACCAUUGAAAAUCAACUCUACUUUAAUUAAAAAAAACUCAUAGGAUCACAAAGAAAAGUCUCCCGACUAGUUACCAAACCCUUAAAAAUGACAUUUGCGGUGUUGUGAUCUACGGGCUUCUUUAAAAUUCAUGCGCUAAGUAGCAAGAUCUAACAACAGGUCUGUUAGUUGUCAGGACUGUGAGACCGGGCUGCCCAUCAAGGAUUCGUCACCGUCUCUGCAGAAAGUCGCUGGAACCGCCUGUGUCCAUGACGGAGGAAACGCUGAAUCCCGCCCACGUCGGUGGGAAUGAAGAUGUGACUUGUUUCGCCGUCAAGCUCGUGGACGCGGCCCCGGGCGAAGGCGGGGACAGAAUACCACUGCCUUGAAGUCUGGUUUCUGGAAGCCGGGGUGCGGAGGGUGUGGCAGCGAUCCCGGCAGACAGGCCCUGCCCCCAGGCUUAUGGCCUCCGGGGUGACAGCACACAAGUGAAUUCGGUCAAGCCCGCGCUUCGGGACAUGACGCAAGGCUGCAGCUGCUGGCCUACACCACCGC
Molecule: long non-coding RNA, 1625 nt
Organism: Phacochoerus africanus (Common warthog)
Lineage: Eukaryota; Metazoa; Chordata; Mammalia; Artiodactyla; Suidae
Exons: 6
Source: RefSeq, a predicted model, not a curated record